RNAcentral lists this ribosomal RNA (496 nucleotides) under uncultured bacterium. RNAcentral's name for it is "partial 16S ribosomal RNA". It matches the Rfam family "Bacterial small subunit ribosomal RNA", at positions 28 to 506 of the family's 1533-position model. The record is from RNAcentral.
GAUGAACGCUGGCGGCGUGCCUAAUACAUGCAAGUCGAGCGAACGGACGAGAAGCUUGCUUCUCUGAUGUUAGCGGCGGACGGGUGAGUAACACGUGGAUAACCUACCUAUAAGACUGGGAUAACUUCGGGAAACCGGAGCUAAUACCGGAUAAUAUUUUGAACCGCAUGGUUCAAAAGUGAAAGACGGUCUUGCUGUCACUUAUAGAUGGAUCCGCGCUGCAUUAGCUAGUUGGUAAGGUAACGGCUUACCAAGGCAACGAUGCAUAGCCGACCUGAGAGGCUGAUCGGCCAAACUGGAACGGAGACACGGUCCAGACCCCUACGGGAGGCAGCAGUAGGGAAUCUUCCGCAAUGGGCGAAAGCCUGACGGAGCAACGCCGCGGGAGUGAUGAAGGUCUUCGGUUCGUAAAUCUCUGUUAUUAGGGAAGAUCAUAUGUGUAAGUAACUGUGCACAUCUUGACGGUACCUAAGCAGAAAGCCACGGCUAACUACGU